UAGGGAAUCUUCGGCAAUGGACGAAAGUCUGACCGAGCAACGCCGCGUGAGUGAAGAAGGUUUUCGGAUCGUAAAACUCUGUUGUUAGAGAAGAACAAGGACGUUAGUAACUGAACGUCCCCUGACGGUAUCUAACCAGAAAGCCACGGCUAACUACGUGCCAGCAGCCGCGGUAAUACGUAGGUGGCAAGCGUUGUCCGGAUUUAUUGGGCGUAAAGCGAGCGCAGGCGGUUUCUUAAGUCUGAUGUGAAAGCCCCCGGCUCAACCGGGGAGGGUCAUUGGAAACUGGGAGACUUGAGUGCAGAAGAGGAGAGUGGAAUUCCAUGUGUAGCGGUGAAAUGCAUAGAUAUAUGGAGGAACACCAGUGGCGAAGGCAGCUCUCUGGUCUGUAACUGACGCUGAGGCUCGAAAGCGUGGGGAGCAAACAGG
Molecule: ribosomal RNA, 429 nt
Filed under: Gemmatimonadota bacterium
Lineage: Bacteria; Pseudomonadati; Gemmatimonadota
Description: Gemmatimonadetes bacterium partial 16S ribosomal RNA
Rfam family: Bacterial small subunit ribosomal RNA
Source: RNAcentral